This 901-nucleotide ribosomal RNA is filed under the name uncultured Caulobacteraceae bacterium. Its description in RNAcentral is "bacterial SSU rRNA". It matches the Rfam family "Bacterial small subunit ribosomal RNA", at positions 42 to 992 of the family's 1533-position model. The record is from RNAcentral. Lineage: Bacteria; Pseudomonadati; Pseudomonadota; Alphaproteobacteria; Caulobacterales; Caulobacteraceae.
GCGGCCUACACAUGCAAGUCGAACGAAGUCUUCGGACUUAGUGGCGGACGGGUGAGUAACACGUGGGAACGUGCCUUUAGGUUCGGAAUAACUCAGGGAAACUUGUGCUAAUACCGAAUGUGCCCUUCGGGGGAAAGAUUUAUCGCCUUUAGAGCGGCCCGCGUCUGAUUAGCUAGUUGGUGAGGUAAAGGCUCACCAAGGCUACGAUCAGUAGCUGGUCUGAGAGGAUGACCAGCCACAUUGGGACUGAGACACGGCCCAAACUCCUACGGGAGGCAGCAGUGGGGAAUCUUGCGCAAUGGGCGAAAGCCUGACGCAGCCAUGCCGCGUGGAUGAUGAAGGUCUUAGGAUUGUAAAAUCCUUUCACCGGUGAAGAUAAUGACUGUAGCCGGAGAAGAAGCCCCGGCUAACUUCGUGCCAGCAGCCGCGGUAAUACGAAGGGGGCUAGCGUUGCUCGGAAUUACUGGGCGUAAAGGGAGCGUAGGCGGACAUUUAAGUCAGGGGUGAAAUCCCGAGGCUCAACCUCGGAACUGCCUUUGAUACUGGGUGUCUUGAGUGUGAGAGAGGUAUGUGGAACUCCGAGUGUAGAGGUGAAAUUCGUAGAUAUUCGGAAGAACACCAGUGGCGAAGGCGACAUACUGGCUCAUUACUGACGCUGAGGCUCGAAAGCGUGGGGGGCAAACAGGAUUAGAUACCCUGGUAGUCCACGCCGUAAACGAUGAUUGCUAGUUGUCGGGAAGCUUGCUUUUCGGUGACGCAGCUAACGCAUUAAGCAAUCCGCCUGGGGAGUACGGUCGCAAGAUUAAAACUCAAAGGAAUUGACGGGGGCCUGCACAAGCGGUGGAGCAUGUGGUUUAAUUCGAAGCAACGCGCAGAACCUUACCACCUUUUGACAUGCCCG